GCCUGGCUGGCUCAGUCCAUAGAGCGUGUGACUCUUGAUCUCAAGGUCAUGAGUUCAAGCCCCAUGUUGGGCG
Molecule: non-coding RNA, 73 nt
Organism: Ailuropoda melanoleuca (giant panda)
Lineage: Eukaryota; Metazoa; Chordata; Mammalia; Carnivora; Ursidae
Source: Rfam